UACGUAGGUGGCAAGCGUUGUCCGGAUUUAUUGGGCGUAAAGGGAGCGCAGGAGGUGACUUAAGUCUGAUGUGAAAGCCCACGGCUCAACCGUGGAAGGUCAUUGGAAACUGGGUCACUUGAAUAUAGAGGAGGAAAGUGGAAUUCCAUGUGUAGCGGUGAAAUGCGUAGAUAUAUGGAGGAACACCAGUGGCGAAGGCGACUUUCUGGUCUAUUAUUGACGCUGAGGCUCGAAAGCAUGGGUAGCAAACAGGAUUAGAUA
This 261-nucleotide ribosomal RNA is filed under the name uncultured prokaryote. RNAcentral describes it as "partial 16S ribosomal RNA". It matches the Rfam family "Bacterial small subunit ribosomal RNA", at positions 524 to 784 of the family's 1533-position model. The record is from RNAcentral.